GGAGGGGUACCGAAGUGGUCAUAACGGGCCGCUCUCGAAAAGCGGUUGGGCGCAAGCUCACAAGAGUUCGAAUCUCUUCCCCUCCGCCA
RNAcentral lists this transfer RNA (89 nucleotides) under Candidatus Omnitrophota bacterium. RNAcentral's name for it is "tRNA-Ser". It matches the Rfam family "tRNA". From Rfam's summary of the family: Transfer RNA (tRNA) molecules are approximately 80 nucleotides in length. Their secondary structure includes four short double-helical elements and three loops (D, anti-codon, and T loops). Further hydrogen bonds mediate the characteristic L-shaped molecular structure. tRNAs have two regions of fundamental functional importance: the anti-codon, which is responsible for specific mRNA codon recognition, and the 3' end, to which the tRNAs corresponding amino acid is attached (by aminoacyl-tRNA synthetases). tRNAs cope with the degeneracy of the genetic code in two manners: having more than one tRNA (with a specific anti-codon) for a particular amino acid; and 'wobble' base-pairing, i.e. permitting non-standard base-pairing at the 3rd anti-codon position. The record is from RNAcentral. Lineage: Bacteria; Pseudomonadati; Candidatus Omnitrophota.